Molecule: ribosomal RNA, 497 nt
Filed under: uncultured bacterium
Lineage: Bacteria
Description: partial 16S ribosomal RNA
Rfam family: Bacterial small subunit ribosomal RNA
Source: RNAcentral
GAUGAACGCUGGCGGCGUGCCUAAUACAUGCAAGUCGAGCGAACGGACGAGAAGCUUGCUUCUCUGAUGUUAGCGGCGGACGGGUGAGUAACACGUGGAUAACCUACCUAUCAGACUGGGAUAACUUCGGGAAACCGUAGCUAAUACCGGAUAAUAUUUUGAACCGCAUGGUUCCAAAGUAAAAGACGGUCUUGCUGUCACUUAUAGAUGGAUCCGCGCUGCAUUAGCUAGUUGGUAAGGUAACGGCUUACCAAGGCAACGAUGCAUAGCCGACCUGAGAGGGUGAUCGGCCACACUGGAACUGAGACACGGUCCAGACUCCUACGGGAGGCAGCAGUAGGGAAUCUUCCGCAAUGGGCGAAAGCCUGACGGAGCAACGCCGCGUGAGUGAUGAAGGUCUUCGGAUCGUAAAACUCUGUUAUUAGGGAAGAACAUAUGUGUAAGUAACUGUGCACAUCUUGACGGUACCUAAUCAGAAAGCCACGGCUAACUACGUG